This 45-nucleotide non-coding RNA is filed under the name Schistosoma mansoni. The record is from RNAcentral. Lineage: Eukaryota; Metazoa; Platyhelminthes; Trematoda; Strigeidida; Schistosomatidae.
AUCCAGCUGACGAGUUCGAAAUAGAACGAAAUGCGCGUCCUGGAU